AUUGAACGCUGGCGGAAUGCUUUACACUUGCAAGUCGAACGGUAGAGGGGGCAACCCCUCGAGAGUGGCGAACGGGUGAGUAAUAUAUCGGAACGUGCCCAGUCGUGGGGGAUAACGUAGCGAAAGUUACGCUAAUACCGCAUACGAUCUAAGGAUGAAAGCGGGGGAUCGCAAGACCUCGCGCGAUUGGAGCGGCCGAUAUCAGAUUAGGUAGUUGGUGGGGUAAAGGCUCACCAAGCCAACGAUCUGUAGCUGGUCUGAGAGGACGACCAGCCACACUGGAACUGAGACACGGUCCAGACUCCUACGGGAGGCAGCAGUGGGGAAUUUUGGACAAUGGACGCAAGUCUGAUCCAGCCAUUCCGCGUGCAGGAUGAAGGCCCUCGGGUUGUAAACUGCUUUUGUACGGAACGAAAAGGUCUCUCUUAAUACGGGGGACUCAUGACGGUACCGUAAGAAUAAGCACCGGCUAACUACAUGCCAGCCGCCGCGGUAA
RNAcentral lists this ribosomal RNA (496 nucleotides) under uncultured bacterium. RNAcentral describes it as "partial 16S ribosomal RNA". It matches the Rfam family "Bacterial small subunit ribosomal RNA", at positions 30 to 523 of the family's 1533-position model. The record is from RNAcentral.